UGUUGCUUUGAUUUGAUGAUAAACAACAACUAUUGGUGUGGAAGCUCAUCCAUUGGAUUUCUUCACAAACUAUGGAAAUAAUCUAUUGUUGGGAUACUGCUGGACAAGAGAAGUUUGGCGGCCUCCAAGAUGGAUAUUAGAAAUACUUGUAUCUUGCUGGAUGGAAAGCCUAUGAUGACGACCUUUAUCAUGAUCGUAAAAUCUCGAAGCAUUGGAAGUGGAGCUGUGUGCUGAUGGAUGAGGCACAUGCUUUGAAGGACAAAAAUAGCUUUAGGUGGAAGAAUUUGAUGUUGACAGGGACACCACUUCAAAAUAAUCUACAUGUAUGUAUAAUAACUUAUGUAGUGAAUGUUAUUUCUGCAGUGUGGUUGUUUUUUAUUUAACAAUUUCCAGGUACUCUUACGUAGUAACAGUUAGUGGCAGGGAAAACAAAGGAGUUAUACUCUAUGUUGGAGUUUAUGAUGCCUGACAUUUGUGCUUCUGAAGAUGUCAACUUAAAAAAAAUUACUAAGUGCAGAAGAUAGAGAUUUAAUUAGUCGUAUGAAGUCUACCUUAGUGCCAUUUAUUUUGUGGCGUCUGAAAUCUGAUGUGAUGCAGUAACUUGUUCAAAAAACACAGCAGGUUGAAUAUGUCAUAAUGGAAAAGCAACAUGAUCAUGCUUACAAGGAAGCUUGAAUUUGUUAUAAUUGUCAACAAAAUGCAAGUAGUAUUUCCUCCUAACUAACUCCAUUUAAAGAAAAUCAUGGCUAUUCUUUGAAUUAGUAAUUUCCAUGACUCUAACAUUUCAUGAGUUUAUUUAUCUAUAUUUUUGCAAACUUAUUUAGUGGUUGACAAGUUAAGUUUUUGUUUUAUAGUAAAUGGAUCGUACUUGGAUGUACAAUAGGGUACAUGCAAAUAGACGCAGAUUGAAAAAUGGGUAUGUUAGUGUUGUUAAAGAUUUUGUGAAGAUGGCUUUGAAACAACCAAUUUGUAUAUUUGAGGGAGGGAUAAAGUGUCUUUGUAUAAAAUUCAAGUGUAUCAAAAUAUCUAAAACAACUACUCUUAUAAUUAGCAUCGGAUAAGUCUGACGCUAAUCGUUUUGUUAUCUUUU
This is a non-coding RNA of Cicer arietinum (chickpea), 1090 nucleotides long. NCBI's taxonomy places the organism in Eukaryota, Viridiplantae, Streptophyta, Magnoliopsida, Fabales, Fabaceae. The record is from RefSeq and is a predicted model, not a curated record.